RNAcentral lists this microRNA precursor (203 nucleotides) under Oryza nivara. Its description in RNAcentral is "MIR812 microRNA precursor family". It matches the Rfam family "MIR812 microRNA precursor family". Lineage: Eukaryota; Viridiplantae; Streptophyta; Magnoliopsida; Poales; Poaceae. The record is from Rfam by way of RNAcentral.
AAAGACUCAAUUCCUGGGUUUUCGUGUCCUACGUUUGACUGUCCGUCUUAUAUGAAUUUUUUUCAUGAUUAGUAUUUUCAUUGUUGUUAGAUGAUAAAACAUGAAUAAUACUUUAUGUGUGAUUUAUCUUUUUAAUUUUUUUAUUUUUUUAAAUAAGACGGACGGUCAAACGUUAGACACGGAAACUCAAGAAUUGAGUUAUU